Molecule: transfer RNA, 63 nt
Filed under: Lynceus grossipedia
Lineage: Eukaryota; Metazoa; Arthropoda; Branchiopoda; Diplostraca; Lynceidae
Description: tRNA-Pro
Source: RNAcentral
CAAAAAGUAGUUUAUGGAAAAUUUAAACUUUGGAAGUUUAAGAAGCUUUUUAAGUCUUUUUGA